GCUGAGCACUCCACAGUGUGACGCCUUUAGGGAGCCAUGAAAGCUACCAUCUUGCAAUUCUGUUCGUCACGAGUGUUUUUGCCUUGAGGGUAGAAAACCGUGAAGCUGGCGGAUAGGCCACGUGUGUUAAAUGUAGGUCUCACGCUUUCUGCCUUGGGAAACAGUGCUUUUCUUCAGACAAAGGGUUUAUUAAGGGUCUCUCUGUAGUCCUGGCUGUCAGGGAGCUCACUAUAGAAACCAGGAUGGCCUGAAACUCAUGGAGAUGGUUUUGCUUCUGCCUCCCAAGUGCUGAGAUUUAAGGUGUGAACAUGCUACAUUCUAAGUUCCCACUACCAUGGACCAAGCCGUACCAGCCAUCAUGCCUUCCAUGCCAUGAUGGAAACCAUGAGCCAAGAAGAAAUAUCGUCUUCUUUAUGUUGCUUCCAUCAAGAGUUUUAUCAGAGUGAUGUCAAAAGUAGCUAAUACGAGUGGCCUAAUAUGGCAUUUUCUAACUGGGUAGGAGUACAAAGACAUAUUCCCAUAUAGGGUUAUGACUGCUGCAGCAUU
Long non-coding RNA from Peromyscus eremicus (cactus mouse), 546 nucleotides. RefSeq lists it as uncharacterized. The transcript has 3 exons. The record is from RefSeq and is a predicted model, not a curated record. NCBI's taxonomy places the organism in Eukaryota, Metazoa, Chordata, Mammalia, Rodentia, Cricetidae.